UAUGGGGUACCUUUACCCCAUGCCAACAAAAAUGGCCAGUCAAUGAAUUGUCUUUGUGUGUAUAUAUCAAAAACGUUUUUUGCAGAACAUGAACAAUAGAAGAGUGUUUCCUUUGAGUAAAAGGCUAAAAAUAUAUAGGUUUUCUUGGAUAUUACCUAUGUUUGUUUUUUGUUUGUUUAAAAAAAAAAAAACAAAAAAAAAACCUAGACCUUAGAGUUAUUUGAGGCUUUUUCAAUUUCCACUUAUUUCUAACAGAUUGUGUUUCAUAUUUUGACUUUCAGUUAAAUUUGUUCUUCUGAAUAAUAACUGCUGGGAAGGCCUGAAAGCAAGAGAGAAGAGAGCUACCAUCUUUUGCACUGUAGUGAUGUCUGCAUUUCACUGGCAAACUGAUUCCCAACUAUGCGUUGUAUUUCCUUUUCUAGAGUUCCAGGACUUACUGGCAUGGUCAACAUUGUAUAAUUGCAAAUCCUUUGGGAAGAUUAUCAGAAAGAUAUAUGUUGUUCCUGAAAUCGUCAGCUGAGUGGCCCCAUCUUCCUCCUUCCUUGCAUGGACUCUCCAAAGACAAAGCACACCAGCAAUGUCAUCUGGGCACAGUUUUCAUGAUAUCCUCCUUUUCUUGCUCCUGAUCCGGGAACUUAUCAGUGAGAGAAUGAUGAAAGUGAAUCCACAGGUAUAAGGCAAUUAGGCAUUUGUGAGGCUGAGAAAAUAGGCUCCUGGACCACGUAUAAGGGUUACUCUAGGCAUCUAAUUUUUCCAACCCAACACAUUGUGGCAUCUUUCCAGUGCUGGGCACAACACUUGCACAUAAAAGUAUUGAGUGUUAAACUUAUAAGGAGAAAAAAAGUGAAUGCCAUCCUACUGUACUCUUUGUCUAUAAUUAAAUGUUUGUGUCAGUGUCUAUAUUUCUGUAAUUAUAUCAUGAAAAAUGUUCCUGUAAUAUAAAAGAUAUUAGGCUAGUUACUGAAAUAACAAAGAAAGGUAAAAGUCAUUUUGUAAGUACCUACAAAAGACAGGCACCGUCCUUGGUGAUUCCUAAACACUUGUUGUCUAAAUUCCUAAGGAUAUUUUUUUUUGCAGCCAACAUUAUCCACAUUUCAUAACAAAAGACCUGAUAUCUGAGUCAGAACUUGGAAGACAAGUUCAAAGCUUAGUCUUCAAAACAUGUGGCAUUCUACCUUUAUCAAGGUGGAAUUAAACAUAAUCCUUGCCCAUUAGGAGCUUAUCCUACUGUGUGGAAUGAUUCCAAUGUCAUGUGGUUUCAAAGUAAUGUAAAACAUUCCUUCAUUCACCCCCUAACUCUGUCUCUUCCCAAUCUCCUUCAUCUCUGUUAAUGCCAACAUUAGACACUAGGUAUGAAAAGAGCCCAUAUUGAUUUCUCUCUUUCUACUUUCAAUUCCAAUCCAUCAGCACACACUGCUGUCUUUAACUCUAAAACAUGUCAUAAAUAUGACCACUACUCAACCUCCCCUAAGACCACCUCAUUCUGAGUCGCCAUUAUUAUUCUCCCAGGAUUACUAUGACAGCCACUAAAUUGAUUUCUUGGGUUCAGUCUUGCUUCCACUACAGCUCACUCUACAAAUAAGACUGUAGUGAUACUGCAAAAAAUAAAACACACCAUGCAAUUCCUUGCUUAACACAUUCCAUUGGCUUUUCAUUGUCAUCAGUAUAAGUGCUUGAUCUUUAUCUUGGACAAAAGAUGUCACAGAGUCUAUCACGUGUCUCUUUUAUC
RNAcentral lists this long non-coding RNA (1729 nucleotides) under Macaca mulatta (Rhesus monkey). RNAcentral describes it as "lncRNA (ENSMMUG00000063789.1)". Lineage: Eukaryota; Metazoa; Chordata; Mammalia; Primates; Cercopithecidae. The record is from RNAcentral.